UUAACAGUUAUAGUUUUACCAUAGACAAAGACCACUGGUUGAUGCUCUUCAUAAGAAAAUUAACAUGGCCAACUGUCGCCAACGUUCUUGCUACCCUUCCUCCGAUUUCUCCAACCCCGUAUUACUUCUCCUGCUCUCUAGUGUACGUUUUCAUCUCUACGUUCUGUUUCCUGCUCGCCAACCGUCCGCCAUUGUUCGUGGCAGUUCGUAGAGUCCUCGACGUCGUGAAUUUUCAAUUUUGCAAAAGAAAUGUCGUUGCCGACAGAAAAAGAUAAGCUUUGUAUAUUGUUUCGUUUGUGAUGAUGAUGGAAAUCAUACAAUUGGGCUGCUGGUGCCAAAACAAAAAGAUUGUGGUUGGCCAAGGAAAUAUAACCCAUUUUCUGAUUCCAACAAAGAAAAUCGUCAAGCUCUCACUUCCAAAUCUUCUAAUAAUGGGGUGGAACAUGUAAAUGCAUUCCAAUAUCUGAGCACUGGAAAUCGUCAGCCUCCCAUUUCCAAAGCUUCAAAUAAUGGUACACUCAUAACUUAUCUAUUCUGCCAGCCCCGUGAAUACUCUGAGAUCACUGAUAGUUCCAAUAGGUCAUGUAAUGUGUUUGCAGGGUAAAUGUGUCCAAGCUCUAAGGCUAGUAGCAUUUAAUUACCUUGGCGGCUUGGCACAUAUAUCAAAUAUAUCCCCCAUCAUAUCCCAUUCCAUAUGAUCCAAAUGAAGAAUAUGCAAUAAUUUAUCUUGGUUAAACCUUCGUGACCCAUACCAUCAUAUGCCUCGUUAUCCAAAUGAAAAAAAGACUAGGCAAUUGAUAAUGAUUAAUGAAGAAGAAAUGAAAUAUAUACGAAAAUUGACUAAGAUAUACCCAUUCAACGAUUUC
Long non-coding RNA from Daphnia pulicaria, 866 nucleotides. RefSeq lists it as uncharacterized. NCBI's taxonomy places the organism in Eukaryota, Metazoa, Arthropoda, Branchiopoda, Diplostraca, Daphniidae. The transcript has 5 exons. The record is from RefSeq and is a predicted model, not a curated record.